AUCUCCCUCUUUCUUCAGGCCUAACACAUGCAAGUCGAACGAACUCUUCGGAGUUAGUGGCGGACGGGUGAGUAACACGUGGGAACGUGCCUUUUGGUUCGGAAUAACUCAGGGAAACUUGUGCUAAUACCGAAUGUGCCCUUCGGGGGAAAGAUUUAUCGCCAUUAGAGCGGCCCGCGUCUGAUUAGCUAGUUGGUGAGGUAACGGCUCACCAAGGCGACGAUCAGUAGCUGGUCUGAGAGGAUGACCAGCCACACUGGGACUGAGACACGGCCCAGACUCCUACGGGAGGCAGAAGUGGGGAAUCUUGCGCAAUGGGCGAAAGCCUGACGCAGCCAUGCCGCGUGAAUGAUGAAGGUCUUAGGAUUGUAAAAUUCUUUCACCGGGGACGAUAAUGACGGUACCCGGAGAAGAAGCCCCGGCUAACUUCGUG
This 433-nucleotide ribosomal RNA is filed under the name uncultured bacterium. Its description in RNAcentral is "partial 16S ribosomal RNA". It matches the Rfam family "Bacterial small subunit ribosomal RNA", at positions 36 to 507 of the family's 1533-position model. The record is from RNAcentral.